CUGGCAGAACGUCGGUCGGGGUCGACGAUUGGUGCGGGUGGCCGGACGCCUCCUCCCCCCCGGCAUGGUCCGGGAGAUGUGGAGGGUCCGGAUGGAUGGAGCAUGGAUGGAUGGAUGCAUGCAUGGAGGGAUCGGCCGGGGCAAUGGGCGCCAACUCUAAUAAAUUGAUGUAAUGGAUGUAAUGUAUAGAUGUAUUAAUGUAUUAACGUAUGGUCGUAUUCAUGUAUUCAGGUAUUAGUGUAUUGAUGUAGUAAUGUAUUAGUCCAUCGAUGUAUUAACGUAUUGCCGUAACGGUGUAUUAAUGAAUUAAUGUAUUUCCGUAUCGUUGUUCUGACGGGUCUCGCGCGCGUUUGUCUCGUACACCUUCGUGCACUGUCGCACAAAACCAUGUGCGCGUUUCCCCGCCCCGUUCCACUACGACACCGUUGCACCAUCACUGCGUCCCGCACGUGAUGGCGCAACCGUUAGUCGCCACAAAUUUGCGGCUCCUAACGUUUUGGAACCCCGGGGCAAGUGUAGGAAAGAGCCAGUUCUCACCAGUCUACAUUAGUUGGCAUUCUCUAAUAGUUCGCGGCACGAACGCAAUCACAAUACACCAUUAACAUCCCAUAUAACGGUGAUUCCGCCGCGAUGUCCACCUGGCCCGUCUCUAGGGACCAGAGACUUGUUGACGCGAAAUGCGCAGGUAAGACACGCUUUGGCUCUCAUCCUCUAGGCAGCACGGUCCAGUUUCCACCAAGCUCCUCCACCCUCUCCCAGCCACACUCGUCCGUUUCUCCGUCUGCCUUGAUAUCCUCACACGAGUCCGCCUAACUAUCUUCUCGUAUUCUCCCGUACCCUCACGUAUCCCCGCACGUAUCUGCUGCCUGCCGUUUUCUCCCCGGCCGAGCGUCUCCGAGAUCAGCCGCGGUAAGCACGAUCUAAGCACGAGUUGUACCGCGAUCAACGUCACCUGUUUGCAACGAGACGCACGUAAACUACUACAGACGCCAUCGUACAGAGCGUCUCCACUCCGCCAUGUUCACAUUCCCGCAUCGCCUCGCAACCGCCCGAACACAACCAGCAGGACCAACUACCAGCCCCCCCCCCCCCACCAGGCUUGGC
This is a long non-coding RNA of Priapulus caudatus, 1104 nucleotides long. RefSeq lists it as uncharacterized. The transcript has 3 exons. Lineage: Eukaryota; Metazoa; Priapulida; Priapulimorpha; Priapulimorphida; Priapulidae. The record is from RefSeq and is a predicted model, not a curated record.